CCUACGGGAGGCAGCAGUGAGGAAUAUUGGUCAAUGGGCGCGAGCCUGAACCAGCCAAGUAGCGUGAAGGAUGACUGCCCUACGGGUUGUAAACUUCUUUUAUAAAGGAAUAAAGUGAGGCACGUGUGCCUUUUUGUAUGUACUUUAUGAAUAAGGAUCGGCUAACUCCGUGCCAGCAGCCGCGGUAAUAAGGAGGAUACGAGCGUUAUCCGGAUUUAUUGGGUUUAAAGGGAGCGUAGAUGGGAUGUUAAGUCAGUUGUUAAAGUUUGCGGCUCAACCGUAAAAUUGCAAUUGAUACUGGCAGCCUUGAGUACAAUUGAAGUAGGCGGAAUUCGUGGUGUAGCGGUGAAAUGCUUAGAUAUCACGAAGAACUCCGAUUGCGAAGGCAGCCUGC
Molecule: ribosomal RNA, 394 nt
Filed under: uncultured bacterium
Lineage: Bacteria
Description: partial 16S ribosomal RNA
Rfam family: Bacterial small subunit ribosomal RNA
Source: RNAcentral